RNAcentral lists this long non-coding RNA (795 nucleotides) under Marmota monax (woodchuck). The record is from RNAcentral. Lineage: Eukaryota; Metazoa; Chordata; Mammalia; Rodentia; Sciuridae.
UUCGCACUGUGGUACAUUUAUGCUCUGAAGGACAUAACCAGGAGCUGUGGUAGACGGUGGCAGGUGGCAGGUGACUGAAGGGUGCUCUCAGAUUGGGAAGGUGGUCAGUCUCCGUCUGAGACCAGCCUGCAUGUCGAACAGGGUUGAGGAAGGCUCACCCUCCCUUCUAGGAACCAAAGAGCAGGAGCUUGGCAGCCAUGUUGUGACCCUGAGGAUGCAGGCAAGAGAUGAAGACCUAAUGUGCUGAGAAAGAGCAGAAUGCUAAAAGACCCUGCAUCCACAGCGAUAUCACACUGUUGCCACCCAGCCCUGGACCUCGGGGCUCCAGGAGUCUUGUUCAUAGUGGACAAGAAGAUGUCUUUUAAAAGCGUAAAACAGUUUGUUGGGUGUUCUAUAACGGCGGCCAAGCACAUUCCAAUGUCACAGUAUCUUCUGUUCAGAGUGAGCGCCGAUGGAGUCUUGCUCAGGAAGAAAUCAGCGAAAAUGCUCUUGAGCCACACUGACGAGCUGCUAAUUUCUAGGCCCUGAGGAUCUGAGGUGAACUGACCCAAUCCCUGAUUUCACAACUGCCAACAUGGAGAAAAUCACGCAGGAUGGCCAGGCUGUGCCCAGCAGCUGCCCUCUCUCAUGGCCACUCUGCACUGAGCUCCUCACACUGGAGGACCCGCUAGGUCCUGGGCGGCCAAUGCUGAUGACACACACACGCCUUGCUGGACAGGGUGGACCUGUGCAUAACCAACCCCAGGCCCAUGUGGGUCCAGACUGAACUUCCAGAGCAACGAGAGAACAUUCCAG